UAACGGUGAGUGAAUUCAAUAGAGCCUUUCUAAUAAUAAAUCUAAUAAUAUUUUGGAAUAAAUAAUGAAUCAGUUUGAAACUGACAAUACAAAGUGAUAGUCUUAUAUUAGGUUAAUUAAUUAGAUAUUAAAAAGUAGUAUGGGUAAAACUGUAUGAAUAUUUUUAUAUAUUAUAAAAAGAAAUAAGGAGUAAUCAUCUUCUAAGGCUAAAUAUGAUUAGAUCAUCAAUAGUGAAGAGUAACGUGAGUGAAAGAUGAAAAGACAGUCGAUGACUUGUGAAAUAGAUCCUGAAAUCGUUAAUCUAUAAGCAGUCAGAGUCUAAUUUAAAAAUUGGAUAAUGAUGUACCUUUUGCAUAAUGAGUCAGCGAGUAAAUAUUAAUAGCAAGAUAUAAUAGAAGUCCUAGUGAAAACGACUUAGUUAUAAAAUAGCUAUGGUGUAAGUUAUUAAUAUUUGACCCGAAACCUUAAGAUUUAGCCAUGGUCAGAUUAUAAGGAUCGAACAGGUGAGUGUUGCAAAACUCUCUGAUGAACUGUGGCUGGCUAAGUGAAAGACAAAUCUGUUGAGGAUAGCUGGUUCUCCACGAAAUAUAUCUUAGUAUAGACUGUAAAACUAGUUCUAAUCAUGUACAGCACUGAUAUUCAUAUCUAUUUAGAUUUAAUAGGGGGGUUUAUAAAACUCUACCUUUGAAUGUUAACCUCGGAAUUGGUUAGAAUAAUAUUACAGAUUCAGACUAUUUGUGAUAAGGUGGAUAGUCAAAAGGGAAACAGCCCUAAACACAUGUUAAAGUUCUUAAAUUAAUAUUAAGUGAAUGUAAGGAUGUUUUAAUUCGAUGACAGUUAUGAAGUGUAUCUGGAAGUCGUAAUCUAAUAAUGAAAGUGUAACAACUCAAUAACCUAUUGGUUUAUUAUUAUUAAAUUAAUAAUUUACUGAAUUGAAGCGCCGAAAAUUCAUAGGAUCUUUAAAUAUUAUACUGAUACUGUGUUUACAUGUAAUAAAAUUAUAUGUAAGGUAGUGGAGUGUUCUAUUAUAGGACGAAGGUUAGUUUUUAUAUUAACUGGACUUA
This 1064-nucleotide non-coding RNA is filed under the name Diaphorina citri (Asian citrus psyllid). RNAcentral's name for it is "Bacterial large subunit ribosomal RNA". It matches the Rfam family "Bacterial large subunit ribosomal RNA", at positions 244 to 1281 of the family's 2925-position model. The record is from Rfam by way of RNAcentral. Lineage: Eukaryota; Metazoa; Arthropoda; Insecta; Hemiptera; Psyllidae.